GUGUCAGCAGCCGCGGUAAGACGAACCGUGCGAACGUUGUUCGGAAUCACUGGGCUUAAAGGGCGCGUAGGCGGACCAUCAAGUCCGGGGUGAAAUCUUUCGGCUUAACCGGAAAAGUGCCUUGGAUACUGGUGGUCUCGAGUGAGGUAGGGGCAUGUGGAACUUCUGGUGGAGCGGUGAAAUGCGUUGAUAUCAGAAGGAACUCCGGUGGCGAAGGCGACGUGCUGGACCUCUUCUGACGCUGAGGCGCGAAAGCUAGGGGAGCGAACGGGAUUAGAUACCCCGGUAGUCC
RNAcentral lists this ribosomal RNA (292 nucleotides) under uncultured bacterium. RNAcentral's name for it is "partial 16S ribosomal RNA". It matches the Rfam family "Bacterial small subunit ribosomal RNA", at positions 505 to 796 of the family's 1533-position model. The record is from RNAcentral.